Molecule: ribosomal RNA, 480 nt
Filed under: uncultured bacterium
Lineage: Bacteria
Description: bacterial SSU rRNA
Rfam family: Bacterial small subunit ribosomal RNA
Source: RNAcentral
UUGAACGCUGGCGGCAUGCCUUACACAUGCAAGUCGAACGGUAACGCGGGGCAACCUGGCGACGAGUGGCGAACGGGUGAGUAAUGUAUCGGAACGUGCCCAGUAGUGGGGGAUAGCCCGGCGAAAGCCGGAUUAAUACCGCAUGAGACCUGAGGGUGAAAGCGGGGGAUCGCAAGACCUCGCGCUACUGGAGCGGCCGAUAUCAGAUUAGGUAGUUGGUGGGGUAAAAGCCUACCAAGCCGACGAUCUGUAGCUGGUCUGAGAGGACGACCAGCCACACUGGGACUGAGACACGGCCCAGACUCCUACGGGAGGCAGCAGUGGGGAAUUUUGGACAAUGGGCGAAAGCCUGAUCCAGCCAUGCCGCGUGCAGGAUGAAGGCCUUCGGGUUGUAAACUGCUUUUGUACGGAACGAAAAGACUCCUUCUAAUAAAGGGGGUUCAUGACGGUACCGUAAGAAUAAGCACCGGCUAACUACGU